This 468-nucleotide ribosomal RNA is filed under the name uncultured bacterium. Its description in RNAcentral is "partial 16S ribosomal RNA". It matches the Rfam family "Bacterial small subunit ribosomal RNA", at positions 28 to 507 of the family's 1533-position model. The record is from RNAcentral.
GACGAACGCUGGCGGCGUGCUUAACACAUGCAAGUCGAACGGAAAGGCCCUGCUUUUGUGGGGUGCUCGAGUGGCGAACGGGUGAGUAACACGUGAGUAACCUGCCCUUGACUUUGGGAUAACUUCAGGAAACUGGGGCUAAUACCGGAUAGGAGCUCCUGCUGCAUGGUGGGGGUUGGAAAGUUUCGGCGGUUGGGGAUGGACUCGCGGCUUAUCAGCUUGUUGGUGGGGUAGUGGCCUACCAAGGCUUUGACGGGUAGCCGGCCUGAGAGGGUGGCCGGCCACAUUGGGACUGAGAUACGGCCCAGACUCCUACGGGAGGCAGCAGUGGGGAAUAUUGCACAAUGGGCGGAAGCCUGAUGCAGCAACGCCGCGUGCGGGAUGACGGCCUUCGGGUUGUAAACCGCUUUCGCCUGUGACGAAGCGUGAGUGACGGUAAUGGGUAAAGAAGCACCGGCUAACUACGUG